GCCAGCGCUGCGCCGCCCCCUCGUGGAGAAAGUGCAGACUGCAGCUUAAGGCACAGCCGAGGGAGAACUGGCUUUGAACCAGCAGCUGCUGCACACAUUUAUUUGAGUCCUGAGGGGAUAAAGGGGGCGUUAUGAACACAACACCAGAAGUGAACUCUGCAAAUGUGAGCAAAGUGGGUGACCGUGCGGGCAUAUUUUAGUUCAUCACAUGGUUUCUCACAGGUCCUGCUGUGGCCAAUCCGGAGACGGCUCGAAUACAAAACUCCAGCACCACCAGGGAGGCCACGCGGGAGCCCACCACGGCCAGCGUCCCGGUCACGAGCAGAAACUGGAGCUUCUCAACGAGUCCAGAGUGAGCUCUCCUCUGGUGACUGGGUGUCCUCUCGCUCGAUGCGUCCUUUGUGUCACUCCAACUGUGAGGCGUGAACGUAAAUACGUAAGUAUGUCGGUGAGGAUGGCGAACGACAUCGCUUAUGAGGGUCGUUUCCUCACCUCUCCUCUUCUAGAAACAGGUGCAGUCUCAUCAGGGAGCAGAGCACCGAGAUGCCACAAGCACCGAUCAGUCCUGCAGGUCACACACACGCGCGCACACACACACACACACACGCACCCACGUGUUCAACACUCCAACUCAACACUCCAACAGUUGAUAAACAGCAGCAAUGUGGACGUCAGAGAAAAUGAAGAGCUCACCUUGAAGUAAACUCGUCACUGGAUUUGCAUCGAGAGUGAACCACCCCGGUAGGAAGUAGGAAGUCGGACUGAGCGACGCGAUAAAGGAAAACAUCGUGCUAACGUCCGACUUUUAAAAUGUCACAGGUUCGAAACCCGUGCAUGGAUGUAAAUGUGAUCUUAGUAAUCGCACACUAAGGAACCAUGAUGUGUGUAUAUUCCCAAUCUGGUGACACAAACAUUAUCAGCUCAGCUCUUCUGCCUCGGCGUCGAGCUUUGCUCAUCGGGAGCCUGCAGGGGCUAAAGGUCGCAGGAGUGUCGGUGGAGCAGAGGCCUGGCUGCCUGACUCAUAACCACAGAGUGGAGGUUAUUGGGCCAUGAGGAAGGCUUCACACAGAGGAUGGCAGGUGAUACUCUCUGCAAGCUACAAUGUGAAGCAUUGAUUAUCUCAUAUAUCCUUUCUUUUUUAUCACAGAAGGCUGUAUUAUCUGUAUAUUUUAGAUAUUGCAUUUGGACAAAGAGCCGUUUCACACAAAACAAGGGUCAUCAGUGUACAAUAUUCAUGGUAUUGAACUGACAUCCGUCACCAGCGACAACAACACAAUUGCAGUCUUCCUCCGGCUACUUCAGGCACCAACGAUGCCACCUGUUAACAGAAAAAUCUAAUGCAACCUGAAAAAGUGACAUUAUAGUUCACGUUUUCACUCAGGGGAGGGAGAAAGUAUUUUUGUUAUCGACCCAUGGUCUGAUGAAAGCAGAGACAAACAAACCACACAGAGCACAAAUUGCCCUUUAUCACUGAGAAAGAAUCAUAUAAGCACAACCGAUGGAUUUAUAACCACGACCAAGGUCUCAUUCUAAGCCGCUUCCUGGUUACGUUAAGCGUUUCAGACUCAUGAGCACUAAUUACAUUUAUUUGAAUGUGGGAAUGUAAAGUGAUUGCGUUUUCAAUUAAAUUAAAUGAAUUUUGUAUUGCCCAAAAUCCCAAAUUUGCCUUAGAGGGCUUUACAAUAUGUACAGUACAUACUUUGUGAGUCUGAUUAUUUUCAGUUUGUUGCAUCUAAUUUUCAAAAUUACAAAACACACAUUGAUACCACUCGACUGUGCUGUUUCUCGUUUGUAUUUCCUGUGGUCACGACGGUGGGCGAGCGCUGAUUCCAGGCAGCAGAUAAAUCUCUGAGAAAAGGAAGGACUUUGCUCGUGGACUCCAACAGUCAAUGAGCAAUAUGAUCGCUGGAACGUGGACAACAUCAACAUGAACGUGGAUCAGUCUACUGCGAUGAGGAUCUACAACAGAACGCAACAAAAUCAAAUCAGCAGUUUUCAGCAUUGACUGGAGAUACUUUCAUAAGAAAUGACAGAAAUCCAGUAUUUACAUUAACACUGCAAGUCAAAGGCCCAGUUCUGCUGGAUGUGUAGUGUAUGUUCUCAUUCUGCUCUCGUAACUUUCUAUGUACAUGAAAUGAAAGUUUAAAUAAAGGUUGUAAAAUAA
Cyclopterus lumpus (lumpfish) is the source of this 2164-nucleotide long non-coding RNA. RefSeq lists it as uncharacterized. Lineage: Eukaryota; Metazoa; Chordata; Actinopteri; Perciformes; Cyclopteridae. The transcript is spliced from 2 exons. The record is from RefSeq and is a predicted model, not a curated record.